RNAcentral lists this ribosomal RNA (373 nucleotides) under uncultured Bacteroidota bacterium. Its description in RNAcentral is "bacterial SSU rRNA". It matches the Rfam family "Bacterial small subunit ribosomal RNA", at positions 521 to 896 of the family's 1533-position model. The record is from RNAcentral. Lineage: Bacteria; Pseudomonadati; Bacteroidota.
UAAUACGGAGGGUCCGAGCGUUAUCCGGAAUCAUUGGGUUUAAAGGGUCCGUAGGCGGACAGCUCAGUCAGUGGUGAAAGUUUGCAGCUCAACUGUAAAAUUGCCAUUGAUACUGGUUGUCUUGAAUUAAUGUGAAGUGGUUAGAAUAAGUAGUGUAGCGGUGAAAUGCAUAGAUAUUACUUAGAAGACCAAUUGCGAAGGCAGAUCACUAACAUUAUAUUGACGCUGAUGGACGAAAGCGUGGGGAGCGAACAGGAUUAGAUACCCUGGUAGUCCACGCCGUAAACGAUGGAUACUAGCUGUUCGGUAGCAAUACUGAGUGGCUAAGCGAAAGUGAUAAGUACCCCACCUGGGGAGUACGUUCGCAAGAAUG